ACGGUUGGACCAUACAGUCAGCUUCUAAUUUAAGUUUAUAAGUUAUAACGAUAUGACUAUUGUUCCUCCGAUUUGUACUUCGUCCUGUAAUAGAACACUUCUCCAUCUUCUUCAAUCCAUUCUUUAUCCUUCAAUCUUCUUCCCUACUAUAUUCUUUCCCAAAAAUCCCAAAUCUCCUCUUUUGAUUAACGAAUCAUAUAAAUUCUUCCAUAUCUUCUUUGCUGGCAUAGUUUAUGAAGAAAACCCUAAUUUUGAGUAUGCAACUGCAAUUCCAAGCUGCAGACGCGGAGAAGAAGCCAUAAUUCUUACUUCUUAGACUGAAGAUAAUCACGGAAGAAGGUUUUUUUAGCUGUAAUAAAAGAUAUUUGAUUAGUAUUCGGUUUAAGUUUGCUUUUCAUUUGUUAUUUUUGUAGAGAAAUUAGAGCUACUGGCUCGACCCUCCAAUGCAAGAUCGUGCAAAGGAUGUUAUCAAUGGUCUCACGAGGAAGCUCAACAAAUAUCAACGAGAACAGCGACCGAGGAUUCAGGAUGUAGUUAAUGAUUCCGAAUUUCGAACAUCAACGUCAUUGUCUUCAAAUGCAAGAGAUGUAAAGAAAUAGAUUGUCCCAUAUGAGAAUGAGGGUACAUGUACUACGAGCAUACCUGCAGUUGUAGCUUUGGUUUGUGUUGUCAUAUGAAUCGUAAUUGGAAUCUAUGUUCGAUGACGCUUUGGUUUGUAUAUAUCUUGUUUUCGCUUAUAUUUGACACUAAAUUUAUGAGAAUUCAUUCUUGUUUUAUGUCUUUGGCUGUCCAAUUUUGCGUCUGGUUCUU
RNAcentral lists this long non-coding RNA (810 nucleotides) under Linum usitatissimum (flax). RNAcentral's name for it is "long non-coding RNA (LUSI_LNC002801)". The record is from RNAcentral. Lineage: Eukaryota; Viridiplantae; Streptophyta; Magnoliopsida; Malpighiales; Linaceae.